CAAAGCGUCCAUGGCAAUCAAUCGAUAGGUUGUUGGUUCGGGGGCGGGUGAAAAGAGAGACAGGAAUACUUUGCUUCCCCUCCGCUGGGGCAAACCCGAACGAAAAGGGUCUUCGUCAGCCGAGGAGAGAGGUUAAAAAAAGGUUAGGGAGGGGAGGCCGGCGGAGCGCGAGGGGCGACGCGGUGUGGCGCCGGGGACGGAUGCUGUGGGUCACGGUUAUAAAAAGUAACGGGGCGCGUCGCGGGUAGAAAGCCAGGGGAGGGUGCGGUGGGAGGCAGGCCGCGGCUCAUUAUCUCUCCCUUCUUUCCUCCCUCGCAACAUUCCCCGCCGCCGCCCGCCGCCGCCACGGCGACACAAUCACCGGCGCUGCGCCGCCCCACCGGCCUCCUCCUUUGCGCCGCGCCGCGCGGGGCUGGGCUGAGGUGGGCCGCGCCGACACGCUGCCGCUGCAGCGGCACGUGGGGAGCCACCACCACCACCACCACCCUAUGCUCCUUUGCCCGCCUGGUAAGAUUGCACCAGCAGUGAUCUUCGGAGUUUAAAGUGUUCAUCAAAGACAUGGGAAAAGUGGUCUUCGGGGCAUAUCACCUUCAAUGCAAGCUAUUUGUUUCAGAAGAAACUUUUGAUUGGCGUGUUUUAGCUCGUGGGAACACCCAACUCUUCUCUCUGGUGAACUGCACAUAGUAGUUCUAUGCUCAACGACAGCAGGCUGAGGCGAUCCUGAAGCGAUACUCCAGUCUAUGCUCCACAUCUACAUGGUCAACCAUCUUUACUGCAUUCAGUCUCCAUCUGUCACUCCCUAGUUAGUUGCCAUUUGCUUUGCUGUAUACCAUCUGAGGUCAAGGCUCAUCCUUGCUAUAUUCUGGGACUCUACUAUGAUUGCUGUGGGAUCUUUGUGAGGGGACCAAAUCCAAGACAGCACAAGCUAGUGGAGGCCCACUGUUCAAUUGACGGAUCAUACAUCUGUUCGUGCGAACUGAUAGACAAGAUAUUGGUCGCUUAGACUUUGAAACACUUCUCUGUGCUUGUUGUUGAUUUUUCUUGAUACCUGGUUGUCCCAAAGGAAAAGGCUUCUUGAUACCUGGUUGUCCCAAAGGAAAAAGCUUCUAUCACGCAACAAAAUUACCGGAACAAUGGAUAGAUUCAAGUUGAUUAAGGAAGUUGGUGAUGGGACAUUCGGGAGCGUAUGGCGCGCUAUAAAUAAACAAAAUGGUGAAGUUGUGGCUGUUAAGAAAAUGAAAAGAAAAUAUUAUUCUUUCGAGGAAUGUAUGAGUUUACGUGAAGUAAAGUCUUUGCGGCGCAUGAAUCACCCUAACAUAGUGAAGCUCAAGGAGGUCAUAAGGGAAAAUGAUAUAUUAUACUUCAUAAUGGAAUACAUGGAGUGCAAUCUGUACCAACUUAUGAAAGACAGAGUCAAGCCUUUCGCGGAGUCAGAUGUCCGUAAUUGGUGCUUUCAGAUUUUCCAGGCUCUUGCUUAUAUGCACCAGAGGGGAUACUUUCAUCGUGACCUCAAACCAGAGAAUCUGCUGGUCAGCAAAGAUGUCCUAAAGCUAGCAGACUUUGGUCUAGCGAGAGAAAUUUCAUCUGCACCACCAUACACAGAAUAUGUGUCAACACGCUGGUACCGAGCACCUGAAGUAUUGCUCCAGUCAUCUGCUUAUGAUUCUGCAGUUGAUAUGUGGGCAAUGGGUGCCAUAAUGGCCGAGCUGUUGACACUCCAUCCUCUUUUCCCUGGCACAAGUGAAGCGGAUGAGAUUCUCAAGAUUUGCAACGUUAUUGGUUGCCCAGACGAGCAAACAUGGCCCCAGGGAUUGUCUCUUGCAGAGGCGAUGAAGUAUCAGUUCCCACAGAUCAGAGGCAAUCAACUGUCGGAGGUAAUGAAAUCAGCCAGUAGUGAGGCAGUUGACCUUAUAUCCUCUCUGUGCUCAUGGGAUCCUUGCAAGAGACCAAAAGCCGCGGAAGUUCUCCAACAUGCCUUCUUUAAGGAUUGUACUUAUGUUCCAGCUGCUGUCCGGCCAAAAGCUGCAGGUCCCCCUAAAACUCCUCCGGGUGUUGGAGUAAGAGGAGUUUCAGGACACAUUGCUCGGAGAUACUCCACUGGAGCUCUCUCCACAAGCAAACCUGCUGCAAACAUAUCUAUAAAACCGAGCAGCUUAUCUAAGAUCGGUGUGCAAAGAAAACUUCAAUUGGAUCGUCAGGCACCACAGAAGAGUACACGGCCCACUGAGAGUAACACCAAACAAACUACUAGUCGAGUACUGGCAAGGAAUAGCCCAGGGAACGCGAACCCGAUAUUAAGGCAUUCACGCAGUUUACCUGAAACUGGCCGGGCAACGGUUCAGAAGGUUUCGAGUAUCACCGAAAAGCUUGCUCAUAUGUCUGUGACCUCUCGAACACGCACGGCUGUGAAGCCCCCUGUCCCGCUGUUGAAGGCUGGGCAUCUCAAGUCAGACUUCCUCGGGAAAUCUGACGAAAUCCCUCCGGCAAAGAGAUUGACAAGAAAGUUGGUGAGCUAAAGGAGUAUAGAGUGAAGAACCGAUCAGCUGCAGCGAGGCAUGUAAGCUACAGAGCUAAAACCAGGUUUGCCUCGGCGCCAACCGUGUGUUUGGCCUGUUCAUGGUCCUUGCGGUAGUUUCCUCCCCCUGCUUGCUUGGUCCAGGUGCCACGGUAGAGAAUGUGUUGCGAAUGUGCUCGAGCCUGCUGACCUUUCCCUGUACUGGGGUGUGGAUUUGCCCAUGCCCCGAGUUUGUCCCGUGUAUGAACAAAACAUGUGUGGUCUUGGUUUGGUUUGUGAUCUAGUUUUCUCAAUCGUUCAUAUCGCAGACCGUUGUCCUGUUCAUGUGCAAUCUAACAGUCGACAAACCCUCCAAUGAAGAGGAUAAUUUGGCUUCGCUUGUACAGCUUGCGAAAUUUAAUAGAGCACGUUAGUGUAUCCUGCCUGGUCAAAUUUUAAAUUUGUUUGGUAGUCUGUUCGUAUUUUUCGUUGC
RNAcentral lists this ribosomal RNA (2987 nucleotides) under Triticum aestivum (bread wheat). RNAcentral describes it as "partial small subunit ribosomal RNA". Lineage: Eukaryota; Viridiplantae; Streptophyta; Magnoliopsida; Poales; Poaceae. The record is from RNAcentral.